GGUCCGCACAUGCAGUGGAGCAUGUGGUUUAAGUCGAUGCAACGCGAAGAACGUUACGUGGGCAUGAAACGCAGUGGACUUGAAUGUGAAAGCAUUCUUCUCUUCGGAGUCGCUGUACAGGUGCUGCAUGGCUGUCGCCAGCUCGUGCCGUGAGGUGUUGGGUUAAGUCCCGCAACGAGCGCAACCCUUACCAUUAGUUGCCAUCAGGUUAAGCUGGGCACUUUAAUGGGACUGCUUACGCAAGUAGUGAGGAAGGUGGGGAUGACGUCAAGUCAGCAUGGCCCUUACGCCCAGGGCUACACACGUGAUACAAUGGGUGCAACAACGGGUUGCUAAGCCGCAAGGUGGAGCCAAUCCCUUAAAUGCAUCCUCAGUUCGGAUUGGAGUCUGCAACUCGACUCCAUGAAGUCGGAAUUGCUAGUAAUCGCGCAUCAGCACGGCGCGGUGAAUACGUUCCCGGGCCUUGUACACACCGCCCGUCAAGCCAUGGAAGCCGGGGGUACCCAAAGUCGGUGACCCAACCCUUC
RNAcentral lists this ribosomal RNA (527 nucleotides) under uncultured Chlorobiota bacterium. Its description in RNAcentral is "bacterial SSU rRNA". It matches the Rfam family "Bacterial small subunit ribosomal RNA", at positions 918 to 1444 of the family's 1533-position model. The record is from RNAcentral. Lineage: Bacteria; Pseudomonadati; Chlorobiota.